GACGAACGCUGGCGGCGUGCCUAAUACAUGCAAGUAGAACGCUGAAGGAGGAGCUUGCUUCUCUGGAUGAGUUGCGAACGGGUGAGUAACGCGUAGGUAACCUGCCUGGUAGCGGGGGAUAACUAUUGGAAACGAUAGCUAAUACCGCAUAAGAGUAGAUGUGGCAUGACAUUUGCUUAAAAGGUGCAAUUGCAUCACUACCAGAUGGACCUGCGUUGUAUUAGCUAGUUGGUGGGGUAACGGCUCACCAAGGCGACGAUACAUAGCCGACCUGGGAGGGGGAUCGGCCACACUGGGACUGGGACACGGCCCAGACUCCUACGGGAGGCAGCAGUAGGGAAUCUUAGGAAAUGGAAGGAAGUCUGACCGAGAAACGCCGAGUGAGUGAAGAAGGUUUUCGGAUCGUAAAGCUCUGUUGUAAGAGAAGAACGAGUGUGAGAGUGGAAAGUUCACACUGUGACGGUAUCUUAUCAGAAAGGGACGGCUAACUACGUG
Molecule: ribosomal RNA, 495 nt
Filed under: uncultured bacterium
Lineage: Bacteria
Description: partial 16S ribosomal RNA
Rfam family: Bacterial small subunit ribosomal RNA
Source: RNAcentral